AGUGAACGCUGGCGGUAGGCCUAACACAUGCAAGUCGAACGGCAGCACAGUAAGAGCUUGCUCUUACGGGUGGCGAGUGGCGGACGGGUGAGGAAUACAUCGGAAUCUACUUUUUCGUGGGGGAUAACGUAGGGAAACCUACGCUAAUACCGCAUACGACCUACGGGUGAAAGCAGGGGAUCUUCGGACCUUGCGCGAUUGAAUGAGCCGAUGUCGGAUUAGCUAGUUGGCGGGGUAAAGGCCCACCAAGGCGACGAUCCGUAGCUGGUCUGAGAGGAUGAUCGCCCACACUGGAGCUGGGACACGGUCCAGACUCCUGCGGGAGGCAGCAGUGGGGAAUAGUGGACAAUGGGCGCAAGCCUGAUCCAGCCAUACCGCGUGGGUGAAGAAGGCCUUCGGGUUGUAAAGCCCUUUUGUUGGGAAAGAAAAGCAGCAGGUUGAUACCCCGCUGUUCUGACGGUACCCAAAGAAGAAGCACCGGCUAACUUCGUG
This 492-nucleotide ribosomal RNA is filed under the name uncultured bacterium. Its description in RNAcentral is "partial 16S ribosomal RNA". It matches the Rfam family "Bacterial small subunit ribosomal RNA", at positions 29 to 507 of the family's 1533-position model. The record is from RNAcentral.